Molecule: long non-coding RNA, 212 nt
Organism: Musca domestica (house fly)
Lineage: Eukaryota; Metazoa; Arthropoda; Insecta; Diptera; Muscidae
Exons: 2
Source: RefSeq, a predicted model, not a curated record
AUUUUUCAAACAAAAAAGUUCAUUUAUUAAAUUGAAUAUGAAGUUCUUAACAAUAGUCAUGGGAUUUGCUGUUUUAGCUCUUAUGUACGGCACUGGUGAAGCGUGUAUAUCGUUCCCACAAAAUCCAGGACGGAAUGGACGUAAAUAAUGAGUAGAUAUGGCGGAAGAAAACGUUUCUAAAAAAUAAAACAAUACAUUAUGGAAAAUGUUUA